Molecule: long non-coding RNA, 23491 nt
Filed under: Nicotiana tabacum (common tobacco)
Lineage: Eukaryota; Viridiplantae; Streptophyta; Magnoliopsida; Solanales; Solanaceae
Description: long non-coding RNA (NTAB_LNC004770)
Source: RNAcentral
GAGGAAAUUCUGGUCAACCUGAGUUUGUGCUUCGCGGACGCGAGGGGUUGACCGCGUUCGCGAAGAAGGAUUUGAAUGCCUGAGCAGAAUUUUUUAAUAGCUCAUUUCCGCGAUUUUGAGCAUAUGUUCCUCCAUUUUUUGGCGAUUUUGAUGUUUUUUGAAGAGGAUUGAAGAGGGAUUUAAGGGGGAACACUUGAAGGUAUGUUUUAUGGACUUAAUACUCAAUCAUAAUGUGAUUUCUACCUAAUUAAUCAUGGAANNNNNNNNNNNNNNNNNNNNNNNNNGAACUCGUGGAGCGAUAAGGAGUCUAUUGAUGUAAUUUUUAUCGGAAUCUGAGACGUGGGCCCGGGGGUCGAAUUUGGCCAAUUUCAGGAUUUGUGUUGUAAUUUGAUUUCUUUUAAGUGGACUUUGUUCCUUUAGCAUAUUUUGAUGGUUUUGCACUGAUUUUGGUUAGAUUUGGAGCAUCUGAAGGCCGAUUCGAGAGGCAAAGGCAUCGCGAGCUAGAGUUUGGACCGGAUAGAGGUGAGUAAUGAUUGUAAAUGUUGUCCUAAGGGUAUGAAACCCCGAAUUUCACAUCGUUGUGCUAUAUUGAGGUGUCGCACACGCUAGAUGACGAGCGUGGGGCUGUGCACAGUUGGGGAUUGUGACUUAGUCCAUCCCAAAGACUAUUUUACCGCGAAUUUGAUUGAAAACUGUUUGCUAUCACCAUGUUUUGGGCUGAAGUAUUUGGGCCUCGUGCCAACUAUUUGGACCCUUAGGGGAUUUUUACUAUUAUUUUCUCAUUGUUUUGAUUUUUUAUCUAUACUCAGUCAUGUUGUAUUAUACUGUUUUCAUAACUUAGCCAUGUUUACUCUAUUUUAACACUUUAAAUGAUAUUUUGGGCUGAGCGUCAUAUUUUACUGUGCCUGAGUGGCUUUUAGAGAUUUUUGACUAAAUAGGGCCGAGGGCCUGUGUUGUGAGGAUUAUUAUGGGAUCGGGUUGCACGCCGCAACAGUGUUGUACUCAUUAUGAUUAUGAGGCCGAGGGCCUGAGUUGUACGCCAUGAGGUGGCUUGAUAUGAGGUUGAGAACCUAUUGAUUAUUCCAUGAGAUGUCUUGAUAUUGCGCUUGGAGCGUAAGGGGUCCCUCCCAUAGUCUGUACACCCCUAGUGAGCGUGGGUACCCAUUAUGAUAUGAGAUAUAGCCCGAGGGGCUGGUGUUGUUCCAUGUUAUUGUCCGAGGGGCUGAUUCUGUUGACAUUGUGCCCGAGGGGAAAAUUUUAUGUGUUUACCUUUUCUAGCUGCCUUUCAUUUACCUUUUUAUUUGUUAAAAAGGUUUUUUAAAGAAGCUUAUUCUGAGCUAAGGUAUUUUUAUAAGAUUUCACCGUUUUAUUGCAUUUUAUUGGUUUUACAUUGUCUAUUUAUAGCAUCUUGUUGUGUUUUAAUGUGAUUUCUUAUCGCUCAGUCUUCAUUUAUUGUUAUUACUCACUAAGUUGGAGUACUCACUUUACUCCCUGCACCCUGUGUGCAGAUUCAGGAGCUUCAGGUCCCGUCAAUGAGGGUUGAUUGCUCAACAGGCUAUUCGGAGUCUACUAGAUAGCUGCUCGGAGUUCGCAGACCAGUGUUUCUCCCUCCUAUUUUAUUUUUCUUGUUCUAGCUAUGUAAUAGAUUGUAUAGACUCUGUCAUACUCUUAGACUAUGUUAGAUGGUCAUGACUGGUGACACCUGAUGUCGAGCUGUGUUUGGUUUUCCGCAGUUGAUAUAUUUUACUCUAUUAUGGGAUUUAUCAUUAUUAAUGACUAAAUUAUGAAUUAUUAUCUGUUAAUUUAAUUAGGAGUUUGUGUCAGCUAGCCUUGUCUUCACGAGAGGCGCCAUCAUGACCGAGUCUGGGUUUAGGGUCAUGACAAAUAAUCACUCAAACAAUGUUAGAAAUUUAUAAAGGAAUUGUAUGAGUUUCAACUCACUUACUUGAAGGUUUGUAUGAAAUACUUGACUACAAAUGAGAAAUUUGUGUUUUCUUGAAAAUAAAUUGCUAUUUGUGGAUCGGGCUGAGCGCCUCGGUAGUAAAUAGAUGCAUUUAUGGUUCGUUCGACCCUCCUGCAAUGCACAUUUUAAUACUAUGUUGAACCGGGCCGUACGACCUUGACAUAAAUGCGCAUGUUAAUUAAUUUGAAUUCUCUAUGAUUUAUAGUACUUAAAUGCCUUGGAAUGUAAGUGGUUUAAUGAUUAAUGCCAUGGAAUGUAAGUGGUUUAAUGAUAUGACUGAAAUUUGAAAUAUUAUUUAUGAAAGAAGAACUUAUCACUUCCUAUUAUUAAACUGUCAAUAUUCAUUCUAUUCAUGCUUAGCAUAACACUUUAAUUAUAUUAUUGUUGACCCUAGUAAGUGUUAAGUCGACCCCCCGUCACUACUUCUUCGAGGUUAGACUGAAUACUUAUUGGAUACAUAUUGUUUAUGUGCUCAUACUAUGCUACUAUACUUAAUUGUAUAAGAUCUGAGGCAGGUGCAUCUAGUUACCUGACCGACGCACAUAGUUGAUCCCCGAAUAUGAAUUCAUGGCGACCUACCCCCUUUCGAGCCGUUCAACAGCAUACCGGAUGUUUCUCUUUUGUUUAUGCCUGUCUAUUCUAUUCCAGACAGUAGGAUAGUUAUCUUUUGUAUAUUCUGCUAGUUGCACAUACACUUGUGACCCUAGAUCUUGGCAUAUAUUUGUAGACUUGAAUUUUUGGGUUGUAUUUCUAUGGUCAUGAUUUCUUUUAGUGGUUUCCAUUUUGCUUACUUUAAAAAUCCGUUACAUAUCAAAUACUUUGAAUUUAAGUAAGUUAGAUGUUGGAAUUGUUUAACAAAAAUGGGAAUUCACUAGUUGAUCGGUGUUGGCUUGCCUAACAGCGGUGUUGGGCACCAUCACGACCUAUAAUGGAAUUUGGGUCGUGACAAAAUCAUACUUAGGGGUCGUUCGAGCAAUUCGCAUUGGAUAUGAAGAUUUCAGUUUGGAUUUUCAAUUUUCAGAUUGAAGAAAUAACAAUAAACUUGAAUUGGAUCGGGCUUUUUAAUUUUGGAUUCACAUUAAUUGAUUUGGAUAUUUUGGAUUUUCGAUUUUGAGCUUUUAAGUUGAGAUGUUUAUUCUUUCAAUGGUAAUGAACAUCCAAAUGAUGUAUUCAUAUUAAACUGCUUCAAAAAUUUCUCAUUUCACCGCAAACAUCCAAAUAAAGUAUUCAAGUAAUGAAAUCAUCAUCAAGGAAAUACAACAAAGACAUUAGUAACGUUGAUGAGAAGUGGCAAAAGUAAAAUCAUGUCCAAAUAGAAAGUAUUCUGAUUGUAACUUAGUAAUUAAUAUUGAAUAUAUGAGAUUAUGUCUAGUGAUUACGACACUGGACUUGUUACUAUUGGUAUACGAAUAAUGGGCUAAAUAUAAAAUAUAAAAAAUUUGAAUUUUCGGAUAUCCAAAAAUCUAAAGUAUCAAAUCCAAUCCUAAAUGCAAAAAAUUUAAAAAUUAAGUUCAACAUCCAAUCCAUAAUCCGAAAAUUCAAACCAAAAAUCUAAUUAAUUUGGAUUUCGGUUUGAAUUUUGGUUUGCCCAAACUAUGCCGACCCCUAAUCACAAUAAGAAAAAUAUAAUUAAUCAAACAACUUGAAGGAUCAAAUUGGAAAAUUCUGCCAAGUUAAUCUAUAUAUAUAUAUAUAUAUGGACAUACAAGAAAUAAAACUGUUCCACAAUGCUUUAGAACUUCCAAAUUCAUCCGAACAUCAUCUAAUUAGGCUCCUGUCAUUCAUGAUAAACCAUCCAAAUUAGGAUCCAAUUUCAUGAAAAUCAUAAAAUUUAGACCAUAAAGUUUCAACAUUUUAAUCAAAAUCAAUUUAGAGAUAAUUACAGUCCAAGACCUUUCGGUCUAAUUUACAAAAUACUCGGCCGUUCAUUGAGAGAGUAAUAGCCCUGAUCCCCUAUUAGCUGCUUCCCCCGUAUCUUUUAUUGCUUAUAUGACUUUUCGGGAGUUUUUUUUGUUUCGGAGUGUUUUGGGACAGUUAGUCCCCAAACGGAAGCUUAAGCCUUAGGAUUUUGACCGUAGUCAGAACUGUGUGAAGAUGACUCUGAAAUGGAAUUAUGUCGGUUAUGUUAGCUAUGUUGGGUGAUUUUGGACAUAGGGACGUGUUCGGAUUAUGUUUUGGAGAUCUGUAGCUGAUUUAGGCUUGAAAUGGCGGAAGUGGAAUUAUUGGAGAUUUUGACCGGUAGUGGACUUUUUGAUAUCGGGGCCGCAAUCCGAUUCCGAAAGUUGAAUGUAACGGCCCGAUUGGCCGUUUUGAUCACUUGAACUUCGCUCUCCAGUUCUGGGGCAUGACUAGCCUCGUAUGAUGUAUUAUGACUCAUGUAAAUCGUCGGUUUUAGUUUUUAGGUUAAUCGGAACAGAUAUGGAAGAAAGAUUCUCAGCUUGAAGCUUUAAAUUUGAAAGGUUUGGCCAAGUUUUGACUUUUUAGUAUUUGACCUCGGAUUUGAAUUUUGAUGACUCUGUUAGCUGUGUUAGGUGAUUUUGGACUUAGGAGCGCAUCUGGUUUGUGAUUUGGAGGUCUGUACUGGAAUUAGGCUAGAAUUGGCGAAACUACGAAUUUGAUGGUUUACGAUUAGUGGUGGAAAAUUUGAUAUCAGAGUCAGAAUAGAAUUCCAAGAGUUGGAUCAGGCUCGUAAUGUCAUUUUUGACGUGCGUAAAAAAUUUAAGAUCAUUCGGACGAGGUUUGAUAGGUUUCGGUAUCGGUUGUGAAAGUUUGAGGUUUCAAGUUCAUUAAGCUUAAAUUGGAGUGUGAUUCAUGUUUUUGUUAUUGUUUGAAGUGAUUCAAUAGCUCGAUUGAGUUGGUAUGGUAUUUUAGGACUUGAUGGCACAUUUGGUUGAGGUUCCGGAGGCCUCGGGUGUGUUUCAGGUAAGUUUUAAGCGAGUCUGGACAUUACCAGAACUCAGGCAUGGUUUUGGUGCUUAAAUAUUCCGCUGAGGGCAAAAAAGGAGCGGUGAGGGCGGAAAAAGGGGCGCUGAGGCGCUCUAGGGAAGAAUCUGCAGGUUUGUUGGUCCGACUUUGGAAGUCUAUAUCUUUUGAUCUACAAGCAAUUUUGAGAUUAUUUAAAAACAAAAGUUGUAGCCCUUCGUGUUUAGUUUCCAGAAAGGUAAAGAAAUCAUCAUUAGAACAUCCUUAGAGAAAGUUAUGGCCAAAACACUAAGGCCUAUCUGUGCAGCCACCGGAAGCACGGUCAGCGGAGGAAUUUCCGCUGGGGCGAUGGAAUUCCGCUGAGGCGGUGAGUUUUGGCCAUCAGUGGAAAUAGAAAUCCGAGAGGCGCACUAUAAAUACGAGAUUUGGGGUUUUAUUUCAUAUUUUGACCCAUAGAGCUCGGGUUUUGGCGAUUUUUCAAAGGUUUUUUUAAAGAAAUUCAUCGGGAUAAGUGAUUCUAAGUCAGAGUUAGCUAAAAUGCAUGAAUCUAUCAUUGAUUUUAUCAUUUGAUUAGUGAUUUGGGGUGAAAAUUGGGGAAAAUUAGUAGAACUUCAUAAAAUGAACUUUUGGAAUUUGAUAUCCGAUUUGAAGUCGGAAUUGAGUGAAACUAGCAUGGUUGGUCUCGUAAUCAAGUGGAUUGUUGGAUUUUGUGACUUGGGUCAGAUUUUGAGACGUGGGCUUGGGGCCUAGCUGUUGAGUUGAACUUUUGACUUUUGGCUUUAAGUUUAGUAUUUUGUUUUGGGAUUGGUCCCUUUUGCUCGUAUUAAUUGUAUCAAAUUGUUUGUGGCUAGAUUCGAGGCAUUUGGAGGCCGAUUCAAGAGGCAAGGGCACUGCGGAGUAGAGGAUUGACCGGGUUGAGGUAAGUAAUGAUUGUAAAUCUUGUCUUGAGGGUAUGAAGCCCCGAAUUUCACAUCGUUUCACUAUUGUGAGGUGACGCACAUGCUAGGUGACGGGCGUGUAGGCAUGCACCAUUAGGGAUUCUGACUUUGUCCAUCCCGCAAUGACUUUGGAGUUGCAUAUUUUGAUUUAAGCCGUAUAAUAGCUAUAUUUUUUUAGAAAAAAUUCUUAUAACCUGGGCCGAAUGCCAUGUUUGGGCCUUGUGCCUGUACUGUUUGGACCCUCAAGGGUAUUUUGUUACUAUCCUCACACUGUUUUGAUUUGAAAGCAUAUCAUCAGUCAUGACUUUACCUGUUCAUUGUUUGAUUCAGUUUCAUUACUCUAUUUUUAAAUAUAUGAAAGUUGUUUGGGCUGAGUUUUCCUGAUUUUUCACCGAGAUGCCUGAGUGGCUUAUGAGAUUGAUGACUGAGAGAGGCCGAGGGCCUGAUUGUGAGGAUUAUAUAUAUAUAUAUAUGGAUAAGGCUGCACACUGCAGCGAUAUAUGGAUCCGGUUGCACGCCGCAGCGAUAUUAGAUCGGGCUGCACGCUGCAGCGAUAUAGCGUUUGGGUUGUAGGAGCCCCUCCGGAGUCUGCACACCCCUAGUGAGUGCAGUCAACUAUAUAUAUUUAUGGAUCGGGCUGCACGCCGCAACGGUUAUUAUAAGGUACCCAUUGAACGUGAGUGCUGAGUAUGAGUGCUGAUUGAGGAGAAUUGAGUCAUGAGUGACUGAGAGGCUUUCCCGAGGGGCUAUAUAUACACGAGUGAUGCUUUUCCCAAGGGGAUUGUUUUAUUAAAUUUCUAUUUUCACUCCUCUUUAUACUGAGCCUUUAUUGAAAAUGUUGAACAAAUGUUUUAAACAACUUUUAUUGAAACUAGAGUUUUUACGAGAUGUUCGGAAUUUACUUAUUGAUUUGGCCUUGUUAUUUCCACUGAGAUUCUUAUGUUAUGAGAUGUAUAUGAGUGACCGAAAGGUUUGCCCGAGGGGCUGUUUCUGAUUCAUGUUUGCUGCGGGGCUGUAUACGAACUAUGUUUUGCCCGAGGGGCCGAUUAUGAUAUUUAUCACAUUUACUAUAAACUGCAUUGAACCUCUAUUGAAACUGUUGGAAAGAAUCUUCAAAUGAUUUUUUUACUAAAAAUUGGAUUUUAAAUGAGAUGAUUUGACUCAUGUUCCGAUUUGAAGUCAUGUUGUGCUUACUGAGUUUAUCAUGAUGUGGAUUUAUUUGUUUCCUACUGCUCAAUCUCUAUUUACUUUUAUUACUUACUGAGUUGGCGUACUCACAUUACUUCAUGCACCAUGUGUGCUGAUCCAGGUAUUUCUGAACCCGGCGGCGGGUGUUGAUUACUCAGUGACAGGUCCAUCAGAGUUAGCAAGGUAGUUGCCUGGCAAUCGUCGCCUGCUUCUCUCCCUCCUUAUCCUCCCUUAGUUGUAAUCGGUUAUUUCCAAGCUAUGUUAGUCUUGUUGUUGUUAGACGGUUGUAGUAGAUGCUCAUGACUAGUGACACCCCUAUGUCGGGCUUUCUUUCCACACUGUUAUUUUGAUUUAAACAUGUUAUGAAGGUUUAUUGUUAAAUAGCUUUGAUUUUAUCUUAAAAUAAAAAUAUUGAUUGGUUUUGGAAAUGUGUCGGCUUGCCUAGUACCACGUUAGGCGCCAUCACAAUCGGGUUAGUUUUUGGAUCGUGACAAGUUGGUAUCAGAGCCUAUGUUACAUAGGUCUUACGAAUCAUGAGCAGGUUUAGUAGAGUCUCGUUAAUCGGUACAGAGAUGUAUGUACUUAUCUUCGAGAGGCUGCAGAACCAUUAGGAAACUUCACAUUCUUGAAUUCUUAUCGUGCGAAAUGGAUUCAGCUUAAAGUGUAACCCUUUGAAUUCCUUCCACGCAUUCGUAUGCGCACAUGCGUGCUCGGUAUCAACUGUGCAUUGACGACUUGUGAUUCUCUAGAUGAGGUGCGAGAUGUGAUCUUGGCAUGUUGAUGAUAGGCCAGUCUGGAGGACUUGAGGUCGAGUUUUGUCUAUGGCUUGAGUGCUGAGAUUUUGAUUGUGCGAGCACGUGCAUUUAGGACUUAUAUGUCCGGUUGUGUCCUUAUUGGUGGGAUUUGUGACUAGAUGACUAUGGGGUGAGUAUGAUUUGAUUGCGAGAUUUUUUCAGAUUGUUCAAAUGUGGCAAGGAGAGUUUGUUGGAGAUAUAGCAAGGGAUAUUGGGUGCUUGACUCCUGUCUUGAGUUGGAGUAUGGCCUCGAGCUAUGGGUGUGUUGAAGGACCCCUCGUGUAGUUUAGUUGUGGAGUGGAGUAGAUCUUCAUGUUGUGUUAUGAGUUCAAACUCUGAGGGUUAAGUGAUUGUGUAAUAGUUAUGAUUAUGGAGGAGUAAAGAGAGAUACCGGUUUGAGGCUAAGCAGGUGGGUUGUCUCCUGCAGGGUGUCCAGAGGGUAUGUGAUCCCUAUGUUGUUUUGUAGUGAGUCUUCUUUUACCACUGAAUUUUAUGUAGUACAAUUUGAGUUUGGAUCGCUUAUGGGAAUGGGUGUGACUGUUACGAGGGUGAAUGCGAGAUUUGUAGAUGAUUUGAAAUACUAUUAUAGUAGUAAGAGAUUAUGGGAAUUGUGAGUGUUUGUGUGUUUUGAUCUUUGGCUUUGAGCCAAGUAUGUGAGUCUUCUAUUGAUCAGUUAAUUACAAGGUUAUGUGUUGUGUUUGUUCCAAUUUGAGGUAUACUAGUGAAUCAGUUAUGGAUUACAGAGGUUGAGAUCGAGGAUGACUUGAGUAAAGGAAAUUUUGGGUAAGGGUUGUGUUAUGCUUUAUGGGUAUAUGAGAAACAUUGGAUGAAUUAGUUGUUGUUUGUAAGGAUAUAGUGUGUAUGGAGUAGGAAAAUCACUUAACGGCUUAGAAGAGUGGGAUUACUCCUUUGGGUGUUGGAGUGCUAAUGGGCACAGGUCGUUCGGUCCAUUUGAUCAGUCUAAUUGAGAUUUGAGCAGAGUGUAUGACUCUUGAGAACAGUUCUAAUGAAUUUAAGAUUUAUAUGUGGCAAUUGGGAUUCUUCAAGAUGUGUGUUGGCUAGAAACUGAGAUUUAUAUGGGAGGAUAUCAGGACUUGUGGCAUUUCUGUAUCAUUAUGUAUUUUACAUACCUGUAUCAGUAAGACAAAGGUAAUGGCUUUAGAUUCGCAGAAGGUCUCUUCAGAGCGGGUAUCUCAGUUGUGGUACUUUUGGGGGUGCUUCAGAAGAAUACAACGUUUUAUGAACCUUAGGGCGGUGUGGUUUUAUGCUAAAGAUUGUAUGGCAAGUUUUAGUUAAGGAUAAUGGUGUACUAGGAAGGAAACAUAUAAAUUUGAAGGUAAUUCAGAAGGAACUCAGAGAAUUAGGACAUGUUGGUUGUAGGUUGGUACUGGAUAUGGUGAUUCGUGUGCUUUAUGGAUUUGGAGGCUGGGAGUUCUCAUAAACGGGUUAUUUCGUGGUUGUGGACCGUGAAGAUGUGGGCAAGCUAGUCAGAUGAUAGUAUGUGCUAUGAUUCAGUCCUUGUGAACUUUCAGAGAGUUAUUUAUCUAUUGUGGGUGACUAGAGUUGAUUUGGGAUUCAUUGGUAGGCCAAUAUGGAUGUGUGAUCUGCAUUGAGUUGGAUAUGUUGACUUUGAACUGCUAUUGUUGAGAGAAGUACCAUUUGGUUGUUAUUAAGCUUAUUUGUGUUUUGAGAUUUAUUUGUGAGUUACUCUUGUAUGCUUCUCAGGAUUUUGAUUCGUCAAUUAAAUGCACAAAUGAUAUGGUUCUAUUUGGGCUCAUAGCAGAAUCUGAGUGAGAUGGGCAUCUGGGUAUUGCAUGAUUUAUUGCGUCAUUUGCUACUCCGUGGUUACGGUGAUUCACUCUUGGUACUAGACAUCAAAUUGUGCGUGGUUGUUGAUUUUGAGCAUGGUGACUUAGGUGUUUAGUGUGGACCGGUGAUUAGAUAGGAUUGCACAUUACAGCGAAGUUAUAUGGAGAUAUGAUCCUUCGAGUUAGAUUCGUGUGUUCUGGUUCUACGGUGUGUGAUGGGUUCUUAGCAUCGUGUUGUGGUGGUACUGUUGAGCUUGCGGUACAGCUCUCUCAUUUGAGUCAUUUUUCAUGAUUUGAGUAUGUUCGGAUUAUUCCUUAUUGGUGCAUGGAUUUCACGGGUUGUGGCUUUAGAUUGUAUUGAUGUGUCAUGUCACCAGAGUAGUCAUGUUGGAUAAGAUGAGGUCAUUGGACCUAGAAUGAAUACUAUCAUAUUCGAUUUCAGUAUGUUGGAAGGACAAUAUGGAAAUUUGGCUUAGAAAUUUUCUGUAGUCCUUGCGGAAGGAGAGGGAACUCCAUGACUGGUUGAAUUGAGGAAUGAUUAUGAUUUAUGUGUGUUCCUUUAAUCAUUGACAGUAUAUGAAAGUGUUGGAAUGAGGCUUUGGUUUGAUAAGAGGUUUAUAGCUGGAAUUGGGUUAUUUGAGCAGCUGUUGUGAUUAGAAGUUAUCGCAACGAGUGUUUGAGUUAUGUGAUAUAUCAUAUGAUUAAAUCUUGGGUUUCGAAUAUGGUUGAUAUAGCUUGUUCGGACUUAUACAAUGUAUAAAUGUGAGAUUCUGAUCUUAUAGAUGAUCUCGAAAGUGGUAAUUUGGUUGUAAGGGUUAUGGGCUAGGAUGGAUUGCGAAAUUUUAGUUUGCUUGUGCUAUCAGACCUAUACGGGACAGGAUGAUGUAGGAUCACACCUGGGUAUGUGCAUAGUGAGGAUACAUGGCGAUUUGUUGGCUUUUGGAAAACUUUGGACACGUUUGAGGACGAACAUAUGUUUAAGUGGGGGAGGAUGUAACGACCCGACCAGUCGUUUUGAGCACUUGCACUUCGCUCGCCAGUUCUCGAGCAUGACUAGCCUCGUAUGAUGUAUUAUGACUCAUGCGAAUCGUCGGUUUUGUUUUUUGGGUUAAUCGGAACAGAUAUGGAAGAAAGAUCUUUAAAUUUGAAAUGUUUGACAAACUUUUGACUUUUUAGUAUUUGACCUCGGAUUUGAAUUUUGAUGAAUCUGUUAGUGUAUGGGUCCAAAUUUGAACAACCACAACUGUUGAUGAGUACAACAAAUGAUGAGAUCCUAGUAGCUCGACAUCCUGUAGAGGACGACCUUCAGGCAAACAAGAGACUGUAUGACUAUUGCAGUACAGGCCCAUUAGGGGACAUUAGGAAUAUUUUUUCGAAUAUUCCCUAUAACUUGUCUUUUAGGGCUUAAAAGAGUUUUGUCCCUUAUAUAUAGAGCGUAAAGCAAACUUGUAAGCCCCGAGGCAUUUUUCCUAACUGAUAACACUUGUUGUAGCACUUGCUUACAAAAACAGUUGAUAGGAUUAUUGUUUAAGGUUUUGUCUUGAUGAGAUAAAGAAUUCAUAUCCUCCGUAUUCUCUUUGUCUAUCUUUUAUUCUAGAGAUUAUUAUACUUAGCUAAGAUUUACCCCUUUAUUUUCUUUGAUUGAUUUACUCAAAAAGUUUCGAUAUCUUUUGAGUCAAACAAUUUGGCGCCGUCUGUGGGGAUUUCUAUAGCUGAGAUCUUAGUUUCAUCUAGAUCCUUGAAAGAAAUAAUCACCUCUUCUUAGCCUCGCAAAAGCCAACAAUGGAAGGAAAGGGAGAAGCAAGGUUAAAGGCAAUAGUAGGUGUCAUGAACAACCUCCUAAAUUCCCUCAAUGAAGCCGGUAGGUAAGACAACGAAAACGCAACGCCAAGUACUACACCUGAGGGAGAAAUCUCACCCCCCCAGCACGAGGGCGUGACUGUUUUGCGUGAGAGGGAAACCUCAAAAUCCGCAGCAGGAGAAGCACCACCGGCUGUGAAUAGGCUAUUAGAAGAAUGGUUGACAAACACCUUGAGCAAUAUACUCGACAAAGCCAUUCAAAAGGAUAUCGAAGGCACAAUACCCGCAGAAACCACAACUAUCGUCGAUGAGCUAGAAACUCCACAAACAGGUAACACUCAUACUGUCAUUGAUGCAGGAAACGAUGUACUUGCGGUCAUCUUAAAGAAAAUGGAAGAGUUGGAAAAUGAGAACAAAACACUCCGCGACCAGAUGAAAGAGCAUCAGGAAAGGGUUGAUAAAAUACCGUGUGCUCCGAAGUUGCUACCAAAACGUGAUGUGGCCCGAUUCAUCAAACAACCAUACAGCGAAGGGGCAACUCCCCACUCUAUUCUGAAAACCUUCAAAAUGCCGCCAUAUUUGAAAAUAUAUGACGGCACCAUAGACCUGGAGGAUCACUUAAUCCAUUACGUUACUGCAGUAAAAGGUAACGAUCUAUCGAAAGAACAGGUGUCAUAAGUGCUGCUGAAAAAGUUUGGCAAAACUCUGAUAGGGAGAGCAUUGACAUGGUAUUCCCAACUACUAGCACGAUCGAUAUCAACGUUCGAAGAAAUGAUAGAUAAGUUCAACACCGCUCACGCGAGAGGGAAAAAGGCAAAGCGAGGGUAAAUGAAAUCUUCGCCGUCAGGCAGACGACAGGUGAGGGACUUUGGGAUUUCCUAGCCCGAUUCAAUAGGGUAAGAAUGAGCCUACCAAACAUGUCAGAAGGGAUGGCAGUAGCAGCCUUCCAAAAUGGGUUAAACAGAAACGGGUCAAAAGCAACCAAAAAGCUGCUAAGUAGACUCAUAAAGUAACCCCCCCCCCCCUCCCACCACGUGGGAAGAAAUCCAUAAUGCCUAUUGCGCCAAAAUAAGGGCGGAAGAGGAUGACUUGAACGGCCCGAUCCAGCGACUAACAUCAGCCCCAACCGAAACAAGGAGAGAUUGCCGCAACGAGAGCCGAAGGGACCAACUAUCCCGUUUCAAUCGAGAAAGGCACCAUCCCUAGAUCCGAACAACCAACCCACCUCCUCCACGACAUGCAGAUGUCGUGCCUUGACAUACUGCACCACCCCGAAACGAAAUAGGUAUGCCUAUACUAUUAUCUGCUCAUAACUUUUGUGUUUCUCCUUUAGAAAUAGUGUACGCACUGGAAAAGCUCGGCACAAAGGUGUAGUGGCCGCAAAAGAUGAAGUCGGAUCCGAGCACCCGGAGAUCGAAUGUUCUGUGUGAAUUCCACCAGGAAAGGGGAUAUAAGACCGAGGACUGCAUAGGUCUACCACAGGAAGUGGUAAGAAUGCUAAACUAGGGACACCUGAAAGAACUGUUGAGCGAUCGAGGACGGGUUAACUUCGCUCAUGGACGCGACCAACCUCAGGGACCUCCAAAACCACCAUCGCCAACUCGGACAAUACAAAUGAUCAUUGGCGACGGCGACAAUACAGUAAUCAACCAUGUGAAAUUCACCACCACACACAAACUCAAACAGACAGUCGCCCACGAACGAUAUGACGACCUCGAAGAUAGUAUCAUCUUCGAUAAGUCGGAUACCAACGGUUUGUCUUUCCCUCACUAUGAUGCUUUGGUUAUAAAUUUAUGCAUCGUGGAUACCGAUGUAAAGAGAAUAAUGGAAGAUGACGUAAGCGGCGCGUGUAUUAUUCACCCACGAGUCCUCAUACAGAUGAGGCUCGAGGAUAAAAUAGUACCGCAUUGCAUAACACUAACGGGUUUUAAUAAUGUAGUGGAACGAACCUCUGGAGAGAUAUUGCUACCCAUUUUGGCAGGAGGAGUCACCCUGGAGACGACGUUCCACUUCAUGAACCAGAAAAUAGCCUACAACUCCAUCAUAGGGCAUCCAUGGAUACACGCCAUGCGAGCCGUCCCGUCAAGUUUCUAUCAAGUAAUAAAAUUUCCUACCCCAUGGGGGAUAUUCAGCAUCCGAGGCGAGCAACGCACUGCCCAAGAAUGCUACUGAAUCGCCAAAGAUUGCACACACACCAAAUAACUAAUGGGGGCAAGUGCGGAAGUAUAGCAAUCAGCCAAAUCGAGAACCAAGACCGACGUACAAAUAGAGUCCAACAAAGACCCGGAUGUCGUAGAAGCUUUCAAGGAAACCGUAGAAGACCUCGACCCCAUCCAACUAGACAACACCGAUAGCACGAAAAAGGCUUAUAUCAGACAUAACCUCUUAGAACCAGGUAAGUACCAUGAGUUCUUAACUAACAAUGCCGAUUUGUUCGCCUUUUCCCAUUUAGAUAUGCUAGGAAUCCCAAGGGACAUCGCCACACACAGGUUGAAUGUCGACCCUCUUUACCCGCCAGUAUGGCAAAUGAGGAGAAAGUUCAAUGCCACCAUUAAUGAGGCGGUCAGUGAAGUAGUCGAUAAGUUACUCACUAAUGGUUCCAUCUGAGAAUCAAAAUAUCCCCAAUGGGUUGCCAAUGUGGUCAUGGUAAAAAAGAAGAAUGGGAAAUGGCGGAUGUGUGUCGACUUUACCGACCUGAACAAUAUGCCCAAAAGAUUCCUUUCUGUUACCACGUAUCGACCAGCUUAUCGAUGCAACGGUGGGACACGAACUACUCAGCUUCUUAGACGCUUAUUCUAGUUACAACCAAAUCCUAAUGGUUGAAGAGGACCAAGAAAAGACAACUUUCAUCACUCACCAAGGAACGUACUGCUACAAAGUCAUGCCGUUCGGACUCAAGAAUACAGGGGCGAUGUAUCAAACAUUAGUCACCAAGAUAUUCAAAGAACAACUCGGUAAGACCAUGUAGGUUUACAUCGACGACAUGCUAGUGAAGUGAAAACGAAAUAGGAUCACAUUGGUCAUCUAAAGGAAGCCUUAGAGAUAUUGAGGCAAUACGGAAUGAAACUAAAUCCCGAAAAAUGCGCGUUUGGCAUAACCUCAAGGAAGUUUCUCGAUUUACUGGUGUCACAAAGGUGUAUCGAAGUCAAUCCGGAUCAGAUUAGAUCCUUUGAAGGAAUACCGAAGACAUUAACCAACAAGAAGUAGGUGCAGAAAUUAACAGGACGAAUAGCCGCCCUGUCGAGGUUUAUUUCACGAUCGUCGGACAGAUGCCAUAAAUUCUUCAAUGUGCUAAGGAAAGACCACGGACUAUAGUGGAAUUCAGAGUGCAUCGACGCCUUGAGAAAGCUAAAAGCGUACCUAUCCUCGUUACCACUACUCAUCAAGGCAGACCCGGGUAAAUGCCUCCUGGUGUACCUAGCAGUCUCCGAAGUCACGGUAAGUGCAGCCUUGAUCUGCGAAAAUAAAGGUACGCAAUCUCCGAUUUACUAUAUCAACAAAACCUUAAUUGAUGGCGAAACAAGGUACCAUCACCCUGAGAAACUAGCUCUGGUAUUAGUCGUAGCUUCAUGAAAGCUUAGACCAUAUUUUCAAUGUCACCCCAUAAAAGUGGUGACAACCUUCCCCCUCAAGGGAAUCCUACACAAACCCGAACUAUCAGGUAGGUUGGCCAAAUGGGCCAUAGCAUUAAGCGAGAAUUACAUAACGUACCAACCGCAAACUACUAUUAAGUCACAAGUGCUCGUCGAUUUCGUCGCCGAUUUCAGUGUGGAAAUACUGCCUGAAGUAGAGCAGGAGGCGCUCCACGCUUCCGCAUAUUCCGACCUCUGGGUUGUCUACACCAAUGGUGCAUCUAAUGCAUCGGGAUCAGGACUGGGACUUGUCCUCAAAGUUCCUAUGUGUGAAGUAAUUCGCUAGUCCAUACGAUUCCCCAAGAUGACUAACAACGAGGCCGAGUAUGAAGCUAUGAUUGCAGGAUUGAAAUUAGCCCUCAAAUAUGGCGCUCGACGACUCAUCCUCCAUUGCGAUUCUCAACUCGUGGUGAACCAAGUCACUAGGACUUUCCAAAUCAAAGAACAUAGACUACAAAAGUACCAGUCAUAAAUUCACAAAUUGCUGCCAGAAUUCGACGAAUGCCACCUCGACCAAAUACCCAGGGCUAGAAUAUCAAAACAAAUGGUCUCGCCAAGCUAGCGGCAACCACUAGAAAUAUCAACAAGGAAAACGUGGUCACUCUUCUCCAUUCAGCAAUAGACCAGGUCGAGGUACAUUGUGUAAAUCUAACUUAGGAAUGGCGCAACCGUAUCAUAACAUAUUUGCAUGAUGGAACGCUCCCACAAGAUAAGAAAGAAGCCAAAAAACUUCGAAUACAGACAGUCAGAUACAGCCUCGUAAACUGUGAUCUUUACAAGAGAACAUUCGGCAGCCCCCUGGCCAAGUGUCUUGGGCUAAAUCAAACAAGACGAGUAUUAGAAGAAGUACACGAGGGGAACUGCAGUGCCCAUACGGGAAACCACGCCCUCAUCCGAUACCUCAUCCGCGCCAGAUACUACUGGCCUACCAUGAAAAAAGAAGUCGUGGAUUAUGUCAGGAAGUGUGAACAGUGUCAAAAAUACGCCCCUAUAAUACACCAAGAGAGAGAACUCCUGCAUUCCGUCACUUCGCCAUGGCCAUUCAUAAAGUGGGGGAUGGAUAUUAUCGAACCCCUCCCGGCAGGACGAGGUAAGGUACGCUUCCUUUUGGUUUUAAUUAACUAUUUUUCUAAAUGGGUGAAAGCAGGUGCGUACACUCAAAUACGCGAGCAAGAGGUUACUGCGUUCAUAUGGAAAAAUAUAAUAUGUCGCUUCGGCAUUCCCAAAGAAAUCAGCUGUGACAACGAACCUCAGUUUGUCGAAAUGAAAACGAUCGAUUUUUUCAAAUACUCUCCACACCAUACCAUCCCGCCGGCAAUGGCCAAGCCGAAUCCUCCAAUAAAAUGAUACUAAAUAUAUUGAAAAAGAAGCUCGAAGACGCCAAAGGGCUAUGGCCUAAGCUCCUACCAGAAGUACUAUGGGCAUACCACACUACACAAAAAACUAGCACAGGCGAGACACCAUACUCACUAGUCUACGGGACUGACGCUGUUAUACCCGUCGAAGUCAGAGAACCUAGCUUGAGAUACUCCAACGAAAGCGGACUGAGCAAUGAUGAAAGUAGGAUUCAAGAUCUGGAUGAAGUCGAAGAACGAAGGGAUACAACCCACGUAAGAAUGGUAGCCCAAAAAUAACAAGUAGAAAGGUACUAUAACAAGAAGGCCAAAAUAUGACCGCUCAAGGUCGGAGACUACGUCUUCAAAGCUAAAACACAACCAGCGAAAGACCCUAACAAAGGAAAACUGCGAACAAACUAGGACGGACCGUGCAAAAUCACGGCGGCAGCAAACAGAGGAGCAUUCCAGUUAGAAACAAUGGAAGGAAAACUACUCCAAAACAAUUGGAAUGUCGCCCAUCUCAAAUAUGUCCACUUUUGAAAAAAGGCGCCAUCUAAGUCAUACUCUUUUUCCCUCAUCCGAGUUUUUUCCCAAUCAGGUUUUCUCGGUGAGGUUUUUAAUGAGGCGACAAGGGGGGCGCCUCGAGGUCUGAAGUAAUGUUCAUGACCCUGGCUGUCGACGCGAUCUCCAGGCCGAGUAAUGAGGGGACUGGAUAUAGAUAAUCAAAUCUCCAUUGCAUGUAGAAAGUCGACAUGUAUUUCCUACAAAGAUAUAAUCAAAUCUCCAUUGUAUGUACAAAGUCGACAUGUAUUCCCUACAAGGAUAUAAUCAAAUCUCCAUUAUAUGUACAAAGUCAACAUGUGUUUCCUACAAGAAUAUAAUUAAAUCUCCAUUUUAUGUAUAAAGUCGAUAGGUAUUUCUACGGGAAUAUGAUCAGACCAAUAAAUGAGCGAAAAUCCCAAUGGCCAAGGCCAUCGACGAAACUAUGAGUUCGACCUCAUUCGAACUACGGCGGGAUUCUACCUCGACGACAUUUCGAAGGUAAUAUCCCAAUGGCCAAGGCCAUCGACAAAACUAUGAGUUCGACCUCAUUCGAACUAUGAUGGGAUCCUACCUCGACGACAAUUCGAAAGUAACAUCCUAAUGGCCAAGGCCAUCGACAAAAAUAUGAUUUUGACCUCAUUCGAACUACGACGGGAUCCUACGUCGGCAAUAGUUUGAAGGUAACAUCCCAAUGGCCAAGGCCAUUGACGAAAAUAUGAGUUCGAAAUCAUUCGAACUACCAUGGGAUCCUACCUCGACGACAGUUCGAAGGUAACAUCCCAAUGGUCAAGGCCAUCGACCUCAUUCGAACUACGACGGGAUCCUACCUCAAUGACAAUUCGAAGGUAAAAUCCCAAUGCCCAAGGCCAUCGACAAAAAUACGAGUUCUACUUCACUCGAACUACGAUGGGAUCCCACUUCAACGAUCGUCGAAAGUAGCAUCCCAAAGGUUAAAGUUACUGCCAAAAGAAAAAGGGAUCGACCUCACCCAAAAGCAAAAUCAGCUUAACAGUUCUACAGGUAUCCUGGAUACAAUAAAUAUUGCAAAGAUCAUCACUGAAUCGACAAAACAAAUUCUACAUUACAUCAAAAUGUCACUUACACCUAUCUUUAUAAUGGGAUCAAGCAUGCCCCUUACAAAAGUCCCAAAUCAAAAAGUAAGUACAAACAAAAAGUUACAUAUCAUCCCCGAUUGGGUACGCAUCUUUGUACCAAGAGUCAGAAGCAAGACGGUUCGCAUCAUCAAAAUUGAUAUCAUCCCCGUCAGGUGUAAGAGGGUCGUACCCCCAUGCCUCAUGAGCUGCAUGAGCUUCGGCACGUACGCCCUGAAGUUCUGCUUCAGAUGCCCUCCCCUCAGCAUGAAGAGCCUUGUACAUGUCAAGCCGGGCCUCGACAUGGACCCACAACUCAUAUAAGCGACGAGGCACGACCGGAUAGGCCGAGGCACGAGACGUAGAAGGUUGUGAGUGUCGACUCGCACCCUCCGCUCUCAGUGAGGCCACUUGUCCAUUCAACACAAAUAGCUCCGCCUCCAACUCCUUAACACGCCCCUCAAACCCCGCGAUUGUAGACAUGUAAUUUUUGACCCUCCUCGAAAAAUUACAACUUUUAGUGCUUAGAUAUUAGUUUUAGGCGUAAUAGUACUAUUUUCACUAUCUCCUUAACUUUUGACUUUAUUUUAUCCUUAAAAAAUCAAAAACUACCGAAUAUUUUCCUUUAUUUUAGCUAGUUGAUAUUUUGUCUAGUUAGUUUUACUUUUGAAAAAAAUAAAAAAAUAGACUAGGCAUUUUAUUUUUCAAAAGAUAAGAAGAAAUUUCAAAAAUAUAUAUUUACUUAGUUUAGUUUUAAAGUUGUAGGUUUUAGUGCAAAUUGAGUAUUAUUUAAAUUUUAUUAAUAUAAUAACUUUACAUCUCCUCCUAAUAUUUUUAUUAGUCUAAAUAGACUAGUAUCUUUAUAAAGCUAUUUUUAAUUCAUCAGUAGAAUAAAAGAAAAAAUUGAAAGAAAAAAGAUAACAGAAAAGAAAACGAAAAAAAAGCAAAAUGAAAUUAUAUCAAAAAAAGAUAGGAAGAAAACAUGGACCUUUUCAUUUUGCUAUGAUUUCUCACGGAAAUUCCUUUUGAGAUUUCAAUUUUGAUAUUGUGGGGGCCACACAUUUUCAAAAGAAUCCUGACUUCUUUUCCAAGGACGACACACACAUAUAUACGAGGAUUCACGUCACUUUCAGAGGGGGGGCCACACGGUUUUGGACACUUCUUUUUCUCCAAGCAAUUACUCCAUUUUCAUGGACAAAAACACAGAAAUAGAGUGAGAGGGACGGGAAUAAUAGUGAGAGGGCUCACCCAUCUUCUUCUCCAAAAAAUCCGCCGCCACCCUCCACCAGCGAGUUUAGCCGGGAAAUCCGGCAACCACACCCCUCCAUUUCCUCUGUUGUCCACCACCACCUAGCAACAACGACCCAUCUCCCUUACUCUAAAAACAACCAGCAGCCACACACCACCAAACCAACCGGACCUCUUCUGUAGAAAACAUCCAUGCUCACUUUCUCUCUCUAUCUAGUCUCCAAUUUGUCAAUCAUCACUCUUCUCCUUUUCUAAUUUCUUCAGAAAUAUCAGCUAAAUUGGAAAAAAUCGGCUGCUAGAAUGCUUCUUCGGUUAAGCUCGCCAUAAAUGUGAAACCUCUGUUCUAUCUCGUGCUUCCUACUCCUCUGCUGCUUAGUUGCAUUUGUUUCUGCUCAAAUAUCUAACAAUGCUACCUCUAAAUGGCUUACACUGAGCGAUCUCGCUUGAGGUUGAGUCCAGUUGGGGAUUUUCAUUUUUGUCGCGAUUUCCAAUCCGAUCAACGGUUCAAGCUUCGUUUCAUCUGUUCAUGUUGGGAUUUGUUCAAAUUUUGAUCGGAAAUCUGUGUAUAUGUUUCAAAGUAUCAAGGGAGUUUUCACUACUUGAAGGUUUAUCCCUCCCUCUGUUCUUACUUAAUCCAAAUUGCUAUCAUGUGCUAUCCUACGUUUGUUUGCACGCCAUGUUUAAAUUGUUGCUUUGUGACUGGUUUUUGAUUUCUCCCUUUUAGAUCCAUUUGAUUUGAAUCUUUGAUUGAGCUUUUAAUAAAAGACAAGUUGUGAAUUUUUUCUUGUGAAUACAUAUGGACAUGUAAGUUGAAUAGGGAUAGUGGAUGUCCGUAGAGAGGCAAUUGUGAUUAAAUAGGAUUAGGACGUGGCGGUUUGAUCAGAAAUUGAGAGAAUUGGGUUUAAGAGAAUUAGACAAUAAGAUGUCAUGCUUUAUUGUUAUUUCGCUAUUACUAGAUACUCGCUGAACGCUAGGAGUAUGCUAGGCCGACCACACUUGGGUAGGCAAGCCUUAGGAUUUUUGUUAGUCUUGAUGUGAGAGGUCGUUCCCUUAGUUAACUUUAUCCGGGGAAUACCCCGAGGGAUUUGUAGAUAUUUUGUUCUGGGGAAUGCCCCGAAGAACUUUGUAAAUAUUUGGAGGCCUUGAUGAGCAUUGUGAAUAAGUCAUAAUAUAUACUAGUUUAGGAUUUUUCCUUUCUUUUCUUUUCAUUUUCUCUUAUUAGGUGAGGACAGCCUCGAGCCUUUUGUGUGUGUUUAUUUUUCCAUUUCUGUGUUUAUUAUGUUAAUUCGAAUAUUUUAAAAGCCCACUAGAUCGAGUACGCAACCGUACUAGUUACGGGACUUGGGGAAUGCCUAAAACCUUCCCCCCCGAGUCAAAUGAACCCCCUUACCUGAGUCUCUAAUGUAGACUUAGUUUUGGAGUCCAAAGUGUUUUAAAAGGAAAUCAUUUUAAAAACGGUGACCUGGCACAUCGAAACCAAUGUCAGGAUAUGAUUUGACUCAUAUUCUGAUUGAAGGCAUGUUGUGCUUACUGAGUUUAUCAUGAUGUGGAUUUAUUUGUUUCUUACUGCUCAAUCUCUAUUCACGUUUAUUACUUACUGAGUUGGCGUACUCACAUUACUCCCUGUACCUUGUGUACAGAUCCAGGUAUUUCUAAACCUAGUAGCGGGUGUUGAUUAUUCAGUGGCAGGUCCAUCGGAGUUAGCAAGGUAGCUUCCUGGAAAUCGCAACCCUGCUUCUCUCCCUCCUUAUCCUCCCUUAGGUGUAAUUAGUUAUUUCUAGGCUAUGUUAGUCUUGUUAUUGUUAGACGGUUGUAGUAGAUGCUCAUGACUAGUGACACCCUGAUGUCGGGCUUUCUUUCCACACUGUUGUUUUGAUUUAAACAUGUUAUGAAGGUUUAUUGUUAAAUAGCUUUGAUUUUAUCUUUAAAAUGAAAAUAUUGAUUGGUUUUUGGAAAUGUGCAGCUUGCCUAGUACCACGUUGCCAUCACGACCGGGUUGGUUUUUGGGUCGUGACAUUAAAGUAGGUGUGUAAUGUUGAAUAUGACUUGUGUACAAAAUUUAGGGUCAAUCGGACAUGAUUUGAUAGGUUUCGGCAUCGGUUGUAGAAAUUUGAAGUUUCAAGUAUUUUAAGUUUUAAUUGGAGGGUGAUUCGUGAUUUUAGUGUUGUCAGAUGUAAUUUGAGGGCUCGACUAAGUUUGUAUGGUAUUUCAGGACUUGUCGGUAUGUUUGGUUGAGGUUCUGAGGGCCUCAGGUGCAUUUCGGAUGCUCAAUGGUUCAUUUUUGGACUUUGGAAUAUAGCAGAUUUUCUGGUAUUUUUGUUGCAAACAUUUCUUCAUCACGUUCGCGAGAGAGGUCUCGUGUUCGCAUAAGGUAUCUAGGAGGCCAACUGAAGUUGUUCUUUGCGUUCACAAAGAUGGGGCCGCAUUCACGAAGGAGUUGUUAGGCAGUGCAUCGUGAACGUGAGAAGGGCAUCGCGUUCGCGUAGAGAAAGUUGAGCGGAUGGGACCCCAGACCUUUUUGCCUACACAUUCGCGAUGUUGGUCUCGCGUUCGUGUAAGCUUGAGCUGAGUGGUCUUCGCGUUCGCGACAAGCAUAUCACGUUCGUGAUGAAGGGAUUCUGAUCCAAAGUAAGGUUGUGCUUCACGAAUGCGAGGGUCCUUCCGUGUUCGCGAAGAAGGAAUUAUUUGGGGAGAAUAUAAAGUUUCAAAAAUAAGGGUUUGGCCAUUUUUAUCAUACUUGAGUUUGGGAGCUCGCAUUUGGAAGAGAUUUCGAGGGAGUUUCAAAGAUGUCAAUUGGGUAAUGAUUCUGCACUUGAUUUUGGUUAUAUACCACUAAUCUAUCAUUAAUUUCAUCAUUUAAUUUCGAAUUUGGGUUGAAAAUUGGGGAAAAUGGGAAGAAGUUCUUCAACUAAGAUUUUGGGUUUUGAUUGAGAUUUUGACAACGGAUUUGGAUAAUUUUGGUACGAGUGGACUCGUGAGUGAAUGAAUGUUCAUAUUUUGUGAUUUUUACCUGAUUCCUUGACGUGGUCCCGGGUCAACCUUUUGAGGCGAUUUUCUAAUUCCUUGCUUAAGUCUUGGUUUUAUUAGUUAGAUUAGUUUCUUAUAGUUAUAUUUAUGUUAUGAAAUUGCUUUUGGAUAGAUUUGAGCCAUUCAGCGUCAGAUAUUCGUGGAAAAGGUAUUGUUAUCGAGUGAUUGAGCUUGUUUCGAGGUAAGUCGCUUGCCUAACCUUGUAUGGGGGAACUCCCUUUAGGAUUUGGUACUAUUGUGAUAUGUGAGCGCUAUGUACGUGAAGUGACGAGUUCGUACACUGGCUAUUUGUUGUAAAACUCCGUUUUUCCAUUGAGUAAUAACAUGUUCCACUUUAAUUGAGUUAUACUAGCUUAUGUAAUUAUCUUGUUUAGUUUAGAAUAGCAUGUCUCCAUGUCUUAAUUGCUUAUCUGAACUAUGUGCAUCAUGCUUAGUUAAUCCCCUACUUCUUCCUUGACUUGUACUUAGUCUAAAUUGUAGGAUUUUGUGUUGUAGCCAUUAUUUCCAUUGUUUGAGCUGCAUAUUUACUUUUGGACUACGGGACGGUAUCCUGAGAGAUCCCCCUGCAUAUUUACUUUGGGACUACGAGAUGGUAUCCUGGGAGAUUCCCCUGCAUAUUUACUUUGGAACUACGGGACGGUAUCCCGGGAGAUCCCCCUGCAUAUUUACUUUGGGACUACGGAACGGUAUUCCAAGAGAUCCCCUUGCACAUUUAUGUUUAGGACUACGAGACGGUAUCUUGGGAGAUCCCCUAUUGAUAUUUCUGUGUACUGUACUAUUAUUCUUCUGUGACUUCCUUCUGGUUAAAUUUCAUUCUUUAUUUUACUGUGAUAUUUUGUUCCGUCUUAUUUAUUACAUUCAUACUAGUAGGGCCCCGACCUGACCUCGCCACUACUCGAUCGAGGUUAGGCUUGGCACUUACUAGUACCAUUGUGGUGUACUCAUGCUACUCUUCUGCGCAUAUUUUCGUGUGCAGAUCCAGGUAACUCUUACCAGCCUCGUCCUUAGUCGCAUACCUCUUGCUUCCCGAAGACUUCAAGGUACAUCUGUAGCGUCCGCAGACCUCGGAGUCCCCUUCUAUACCUUCUUAUGUCGUUCCUUUUUCAUUCUUCUGGAUUCUGAUGUAUAGAACAGUUAGAUAAAUCAUAGAAGCUUAUGACUUACGAUGUUCUAGGUAUUGGGAUAUUUUUUAUAUGUUUU